RNAcentral lists this ribosomal RNA (16 nucleotides) under Cliffortia verrucosa. RNAcentral also lists the same sequence under 1 other name. The record is from RNAcentral. Lineage: Eukaryota; Viridiplantae; Streptophyta; Magnoliopsida; Rosales; Rosaceae.
GGUUGCGAUCAUACCA